UACGAAGGGGGCUAGCGUUGUUCGGAAUUACUGGGCGUAAAGCGCACGUAGGCGGCGCCGUAAGUCGGGCGUGAAAUGCCGGGGCUCAACCCCGGGACUGCGUCCGAUACUUCCGAGCUGGAGGUAGGUAGGGGAGAUCGGAAUUCCUGGUGUAGCGGUGAAAUGCGCAGAUAUCAGGAGGAACACCGGUGGCGAAGGCGGAUCUCUGGGCCUUACCUGACGCUGAGGCGCGAAAGCUAGGGGAGCGAACAGG
Molecule: ribosomal RNA, 253 nt
Filed under: uncultured bacterium
Lineage: Bacteria
Description: partial 16S ribosomal RNA
Rfam family: Bacterial small subunit ribosomal RNA
Source: RNAcentral